UGCCCCGUAAUGGGCAAAGAUACCUUGUCAGUGGUGGUGUUCUUGUAUUAGUCAGGGGCAGAGCAGAUGGCAGUCCUUUGUUUAGCCUAGCUUGAAACCUGGAUUGGUGGCCAGAUCUGGUCUAUGCCUAGGAUUCAUCA
Molecule: small nucleolar RNA, 140 nt
Organism: Mastomys coucha (southern multimammate mouse)
Lineage: Eukaryota; Metazoa; Chordata; Mammalia; Rodentia; Muridae
Product: small nucleolar RNA SNORA48
Exons: 1
Source: RefSeq, a predicted model, not a curated record